RNAcentral lists this ribosomal RNA (330 nucleotides) under uncultured bacterium. Its description in RNAcentral is "bacterial SSU rRNA". It matches the Rfam family "Bacterial small subunit ribosomal RNA", at positions 568 to 898 of the family's 1533-position model. The record is from RNAcentral.
CGCGUAGGUGGGAUAGUAAGUCUGCUUUAAAAGUGCGGGGCUCAACCCCGUGAUGGGGUGGAAACUGCUAUUCUUGAGUGCAGGAGAGGAAAGCGGAAUUCCCAGUGUAGCGGUGAAAUGCGUAGAUAUUGGGAGGAACACCAGUGGCGAAGGCGGCUUUCUGGACUGUGUCUGACACUGAGGCGCGAAAGCUAGGGGAGCGAACGGGAUUAGAUACCCCGGUAGUCCUAGCCGUAAACGAUGGGUACUAGGUGUAGGGGGUAUCGACCCCCCCUGUGCCGGAGUUAACGCAAUAAGUACCCCGCCUGGGAGUACGGCCGCAAGGUUGAA